UCCCUGCUGGCUCAGAUGGUAAAGAGUCUGCCUACAAUGCAGGAGACCUAGGUUUGAUUCCUGGGUCAGGAG
Molecule: transfer RNA, 72 nt
Filed under: Bos taurus (domestic cattle)
Lineage: Eukaryota; Metazoa; Chordata; Mammalia; Artiodactyla; Bovidae
Also listed under: 4 other names
Rfam family: tRNA
About the family: Transfer RNA (tRNA) molecules are approximately 80 nucleotides in length.
Source: Rfam by way of RNAcentral